UGGGGAAUUUUGCACAAUGGGGGAAACCCUGAUGCAGCGACGCCGCGUGAUUUAGAAGGCCUUCGGGUUGUAAAAAUCUUUUGUAUGGGAAGAAAAUGACAGUACCAUACGAAUAAGGACCGGCUAAUUACGUGCCAGCAGCCGCGGUAAUACGUAAGGUCCGAGCGUUGUCCGGAAUCAUUGGGCGUAAAGGGUACGUAGGCGGAUAAGCAAGUUAGAAGUGAAAUCCUAUAGCUCAACUAUAGUAAGCUUUUAAAACUGCUCAUCUUGAGGUAUGGAAGGGAAAGUGGAAUUCCUGGGGUAGCGGUGAAAUGCGCAGAUAUUAGGAGGAAUACCGGUGGCGAAGGCGACUUUCUGGCCAUAUACUGACGCUGGGGUACGAAAGCGUGGGUAGCAAACAGG
RNAcentral lists this ribosomal RNA (402 nucleotides) under Verrucomicrobiota bacterium. RNAcentral's name for it is "Verrucomicrobia bacterium partial 16S ribosomal RNA". It matches the Rfam family "Bacterial small subunit ribosomal RNA", at positions 355 to 776 of the family's 1533-position model. The record is from RNAcentral. Lineage: Bacteria; Pseudomonadati; Verrucomicrobiota.